AUUGAGAAUUUGAUCCUGGUUCAGGAUGAAUGCUGGCAGUGUACCUUAAGCAUGCAAGUCGAACGGAUGAGGCCGCAAGGCCAAAUCAGUGGCAGACGGGUGAGGAUUGACAGGAACCUACCUUUUGUUGGGGAAUAGCUCGCCGAAAGGCGAGAUAAUACCGCAUAAGAUCGCAAGAUGAAAGGCCUUAACCGGCCGACGAUAGAUGGGCCUGUUUGCUAUCAGCUAGUUGGUGAGGUAAUGGCUCACCAAGGCUAUGACGGCUAGGGGACGUGAGAGCGUGGUCCCCCACAAUGUUACUUAGACACGGAACAUACACCUACGGGUGGCAGCAACUGGGAAUUUUGCACAAUGGACGAAAGUCUGAUGCAGUGACACUGCGUGUAGGAUGAAGGCCCUCGGGUCGUAAACUACUGUGAUAGGGGAAAAAAUUUUGAUGGUACCCUAUUAGAAAGUACUUGCUAACUACGUGCCAGAAGCCUCGGUAAUACGUAGAGUACAAGCAUUAUCCGGAUUUAUUGGGCGUAAAGAGUAUCGUAGGCGGUCUAUUAAGUAACGGGUUAAAGCCCGGGGCUCAACCCCGGAGAUGUCCGUUAAACUGGUAGACUUGUGGAUGUUCGGGGUUACUAGAAUUCUUGGUGGAAGAGUGAAAUCUGUUGAUAUCAAGAAGAAUACCAAAAGCGAAGGCAGGUAACUAGGACAUUCCAGACGCUGAUGAACGAAAGCUAGGGGAGCGAAAGGGAUUAGAGACCCCUGUAGUCCUAGCCGUAAACUAUGAACACUAGCUAUUUCCCGUAAGGGGAGUGGCGUAAGCUAACGCGUUAAGUGUUCCGCCUGGGGAGUACGACCGCAAGGUUAAAACUCAAAGGAAUUGACGGGGAAACGCACAAUCAGCGUGCCAUGUGGUUUAAUUGGAUACGAAACCUUGAACCUUACCUAGAUUUGACAUGUAACUGCAAAUCCCUGGAAACAGGGACUCCUUUCGAGGCGUCGGCUUAAGUGCCGUAACGAACGCAACCCCUGUGCUAUGUUAAAUAUCCAUAGCAGACUGCCUUGGAUUUUUCCAAGGAGGAAGGAGGGGAUGACGUCAAAUCAGCAUGGCGCUUAUAUCUAGGGCUACACACAUGGCGUAAUGGGUGGGACAACGGGAUGCCAAGGCGCGAGCCAACACUGCCCGUCAAGUCAACAAAGUCAGUAGUGCCCGAAGUAGGUACCCGCAACCGCAAGGAUCGGGCCUCCUAAGGUAAGACUGGCGAUGGGGGCUAAGUCGACAAGGUAUCCGUACUGGAAGGUGCGGAUGGAUCACCUCCUU
RNAcentral lists this ribosomal RNA (1312 nucleotides) under Candidatus Collierbacteria bacterium GW2011_GWA2_42_17. RNAcentral's name for it is "bacterial SSU rRNA". It matches the Rfam family "Bacterial small subunit ribosomal RNA". Lineage: Bacteria; Candidatus Collieribacteriota. The record is from RNAcentral.